Long non-coding RNA from Bos taurus (domestic cattle), 1849 nucleotides. NCBI's taxonomy places the organism in Eukaryota, Metazoa, Chordata, Mammalia, Artiodactyla, Bovidae. The record is from Ensembl.
GUGAGUAGAAUAAAGAUUUAAAAUUUCUCCGCUCCCGGCCGGGUGGUGGGCCCAUAUCCUGCGUAGCCUCUAGGAAGCGCUAGACCCAUAUAAAGAAAGUGGAGUUAUGCACUCCAGAAAUUAUGCAAAUCAUCCAGUGGCACAAAAUUCCUAUCAGAACCGCUUUUACUGCCUCCCCCGGCGACGUUCCCGGCCCGCCAACGUUUCUUUCGUCCUUACAAGGCCAGCUUCCACCCGCUGCUUUUGUGUAAAUAAAGCCUGGCCUUCUGCCUGCAGGUUGCCGCCAGAAGCCGGCCGGUGGGGGAAGGGUUCGGAACCGGUACGACCGCCUCAGCCGCGCCGGGAGAGGCCGAGAGUCCGCCACGCUCAGCCGUCGCGCGGGGGCGGUACUCCGGGCCCCCCAGGAUGAGCCGAGCCGAGAAACCCAGCACGAGAAAGUCCCCACCCACCUGCACCCUCUUCCGUGGGUCACCCCGCGCGUGGCAGGCCCUUGACAAAUAUCGUCCUGAAUUCUCCCCGCGAUCCUGGGAGUAUCCUCCCCAUUUUAUAGACGAGAGACUGAGGCUUACCAAGUGUAAGGGGCUUGACCGAGGUCCCAUAGGCGAAAAAAGUGGCAAACCAAGAACUUCUAACCGAAUAUAUCUGGCUGCAAAAUCCAGUCUUCUCCCAUCCCGCCGGUCACCAGUGAGACUGUAAAGGUCUUAAAGGAGAAGAAUAAAAAAAAAAAUAACCACACGAAUCAGAUUAACAGAUCGUAAGGAAUUGAAAGGGCCUUCCAGAGCUGCUGGUAUUUCAAACAAGUGGACUCGAACCACAGGAUAAGUAACAAACUACUUUUCCUGGGUGACCAAUCAUACUUUUUUUUUAAUUAAAAAUAUAUUUAUUAAAAUAGAUUACGAUGGAGAAGAAUAUAAUUUUCAAAAUAAUGAUAGCUGAAAACAGAAGACUUAAAAGAAAUGUCAGGCUGUUUCCACCUCGCACACCUUUCGUUCGAUUGCACACACAUUCUUGACAUCAAGUACAUAAACAGGCAAACUGAGGCCCGAAACCAGUCCCACUGAGAGCGAGAGGCCGAGUGGGAGGAGAACCGAGAUUUCCGGGCUCUCGGCCUGGGGUGCUUUCGGCUGGGGGCGGGGGUCCUGUUUGUAAACAGGUGUCCUCGGACAGCCACUGCCGAUUUUUGUCACUCUGCCAACCGGAGGGACGAUUCUGAGUAAUCGCUAGCAGUCAGCGCAGCUGGGGCUAAAAGCGAAAGGGACGCGCGCGCGACGGGCCCGGGAGGGCGACGGGUAAAGCGCGCAGGCGGGGCCGCCGCCGGGUUCCCGCGGGGCGACCGUGCGGUAGGCCUCCUCCCGGACCGCUCUCGACGGCCCCGCCCCGCGCAGGCGGCGGGCGCUGCAGGCCCCGCCCCUGCUCCCAGCCCAGGGGACCCAUCCCGGACCUGAGAAUCCCGGUCCCAAACCCCUCCUCCCAAAAGGGGCUAAAAGGUGCAGGGGGCUUUUGACCAGCCCGUCCAGCUUCAGGUCCUGGGACCGGCGGCCCUGUCCUUGCGCGUGGGAACAGUCAGGAACUAAAUGAAUUCUGGCUGGACUGUGCAUCAUUGAUAUUCUUGCAUUGUGGAUUCUUUAUCGUCUGAGGCACCAGGGAAGCAUAUGCUGAGCACCAAAGAAUUGAUGCCUUUGAACUGUGGUGUUGGAGAAGACUCUUGAGAGUCCCUUGGACUGCAAGGAGAUCCAACCAGUCCAUUCUGAAGGAGAUCAGCCCUGGGAUUUCUUUGGAAGGAAUGAUGCUAAAGCUGAAACUCCAGUACUUUGGCCACCUCAUGCGAAGGGUUGACUCAUUGGGAAAG